This 279-nucleotide unclassified non-coding RNA is filed under the name plant metagenome. RNAcentral's name for it is "partial contains small subunit ribosomal RNA, internal transcribed spacer 1, and 5.8S ribosomal RNA". The record is from RNAcentral.
UUUCCGUAGGUGAACCUGCGGAGGGAUCAUUAUUGUAUAACCAAAGUCCGAGAACUAUCGCUGACGCUACCGAAAGUGCACGCCCGAGUGCCCUCACCCACAUCCAUCCCACCCCUGUCCCCGCCCCCCCCUGGGUCCCCCCUUGGCUUGUUCGGAGAGGGGCUUACGUUUUUGCACACACUUUGUCUUCUGUGUAGAAUGUGUCUUUUGUUUUUGCGAUCACGCACUCGAUACAACUUUCGACAACGGACCCCUUGGCUCUCGCAUCGAUGCAGAAGG